GAUCGCGGUGCCGGGGACGAACCUGGCGGCGCUGCUGUCCCCGCGGGACGUCGUCCACUGCUCGAUGCCGCUGUUCCACUCGGGCGCGAUCA
Molecule: transfer RNA, 92 nt
Filed under: Paraplanobispora takensis
Lineage: Bacteria; Bacillati; Actinomycetota; Actinomycetes; Streptosporangiales; Streptosporangiaceae
Description: Planobispora takensis tRNA-Ser
Source: RNAcentral